UGGCCUGGAACUCCUAAUAUUGCCCACUCUGGCCUCGAACUCGCCCUUCUCCUGCUUCGGCCUCCUGAGCAGUGGGAUUCGACCUUGGCCUGAGAACAAAAGAACGAAAAAUCAGUUUUCGUGCGACGUGACGUUCUGGCCACACAGUUGGUUCCGGACCUCUCCCGAGCCUCAGUGUCAGCCACGCUGCGAUCACCUUUAGGCAUGUGCCACAGGCAUCCGAGUCAACUACCAACACCAAGUGAAGCUCUACCAUUGCUCACCGGUUUGCGCUCUUGCCGAGGCUCUGGUUGCUGGCGUGUAUCGUGGGACCAGCCUUUUCCUCCCGCUCCUGUCUGUUCCGAGAGCUAAGGUAGGUGGUGGCCUACUCCCCUGAGAAUUGAUACAGGCCAACGUCUGCUGACUGCUGGCAGGUUGCUGGGCCGACAGUGCGUGAGAUGGGACGGACAUCAAAGGACAAGCGGGAUGUCUACUACCGCCUGGCCAAGGAGAAUGGCUGGCGAGCCCGAAGUGCCUUCAAGCUGCUACAACUCGAUGAGGAAUUUCAGCUCUUCCAAGGCGUGACACGGGCAGUUGACCUGUGUGCAGCCCCGGGCAGCUGGAGCCAGGUGCUGAGCCAGAAGAUCGGGGGCCAGGGAUCUGGCCACGUGGUAGCUGUGGACUUGCAGGCUAUGGCCCCUCUACCAGGUGUGAUACAGAUUCAGGGAGACAUCACACAGCUUUCCACCGCCAAGGAGAUCAUCCAGCACUUUGAGGGCUGCCCUGCCGACCUAGUGGUGUGCGAUGGGGCUCCUGACGUCACUGGCCUCCAUGAUGUGGAUGAGUACAUGCAGGCCCAGCUCCUCCUAGCUGUGAGUAACCCUGGCAGCCCUUGUCCUCCUUUGGUCCCUCUUGGCCACCUCAGCCUCGGCUUCACCCUUAGCCAUCUGUCCUGCCCACAGGCUCUGAACAUUGCUACGCAUGUCUUGAAGCCAGGGGGCUGCUUUGUGGCCAAGAUAUUCCGAGGCCGGGAUGUGACACUGCUCUAUAGCCAGCUGCGUGUCUUCUUCUCCAGUGUACUCUGUGCCAAGCCCCGGAGCAGCCGGAACUCCAGCAUCGAGGCCUUUGCUGUCUGUCGAGGUUAUGACCCUCCUGAGGGCUUUGUGGCAGACCUAUCCAGACCCCUGCUGGACCACUCAUACGACCCAGAUUUCAACCAAUUGGAUGGUCCCACCCGCAUCAUUGUGCCUUUUGUGACCUGUGGGGACCUGAGCGCCUAUGACUCAGACCGCAGUUACCCACUCGAGCUAGAGGAUGGCUCCGGGUACAAGUACACUCCACCCACCCAGCCCCCCAUCUCACCCCCGUACCAGGAGGCCUGCACACUGAAGAAGAAGGGGCAACUGGCCAAAGAGAUUCGCCCCCAGGACUGCCCCAUCAGCCAAGUGGAUGUGGUGCCCCAGCCCACUCCUUAGCACCACACCUUCCUGGGCCUUAGAUGGAAGACAAUGAAAUAAAGUAUUCACUUAACAAAUAAAGCUGGCAAGUUGGGAGACCUGAGAAGCUGCUACUGGUCAGGAAAACCAGAACUUGAGUUGAUGAUGUGUUUUCAAAUCUCAUCAAUGGGGCGUGAGCAAACAAACCUGGCGUGGAGAUCUCAGCCACCCCCAUGCAAGUUGGGAGACCUGAGAAGCUGCUACUGGUCAGGAAAACCAGAACUUGAGUUGAUGAUGUGUUUUCAAAUCUCAUCAAUGGGGCGUGAGCAAACAAACCUGGCGUGGAGAUCUCAGCCACCCCCAUGAGGACAAGGAAAGAAAGAGAGAAGUCGGUCCUGCUGCUGUGGGGAUUUCUUGAGCCUGUAUGAGGACUCGCCUCUUCUCCAAACAUUUCCUAGCAUGUCCUGAUGAUGUCCAGGUUUCCCCCCAAAGCAGGAUUCCUGAUCUGGGUAGAUGUCAGGGGACUCUCAACUUGACAGAGGCAAUCACAGUAAAAGCAGGAUCUGCCAUUUCCCCAGAGAUGCAAGUCAGUUACUAUUUGUA
Non-coding RNA from Castor canadensis (American beaver), 2018 nucleotides. The record is from RefSeq and is a predicted model, not a curated record. NCBI's taxonomy places the organism in Eukaryota, Metazoa, Chordata, Mammalia, Rodentia, Castoridae.